Molecule: ribosomal RNA, 518 nt
Filed under: uncultured euryarchaeote
Lineage: Archaea; Methanobacteriati; Methanobacteriota
Description: bacterial SSU rRNA
Rfam family: Archaeal small subunit ribosomal RNA
Source: RNAcentral
CGAAGCACGAUGAGGGAAUCCCAAGUGCUUGCACGUAAGUGUAAGCUGUUUCUUUGUUUAAAAAGCAAGGAGAGGAAGGGCUGGGUAAGACGGGUGCCAGCCGCCGCGGUAAUACCUGCAGCUCAAGUGGUGACCGCUAUUAUUGGGCCUAAAACGUUCGUAGCCGGCUGAGUAAAUGCUUGGGUAAAUCGUGUAGCUUAACUAUACGAAUUCCGGGUAGACUGCUUAGCUUGAGACCGGGAGAAGCUAGAGGUACUCCUGGGGUAGAGGUGAAAUUCUGUAAUCCUGGGGGGACCACCAGUGGCGAAGGCGUCUAGCUAGAACGGGUCUGACGGUGAGGGACGAAACCCUGGGGCGCAAACCGGAUUAGAUACCCGGGUAGUCCAGGGCGCAAACGCUGCUUGCUUGAUGUUAGUCGGGCUCCGAGCUCGGCUAGUGUCGGAGAGAAGUUGUUAAGCAAGCUGCCUGGGAAGUACGAUCCGAAGCACGACGAAGCACGACGAAGCACGAGGAGCACA